Phrynosoma platyrhinos (Desert horned lizard) is the source of this 75-nucleotide non-coding RNA. NCBI's taxonomy places the organism in Eukaryota, Metazoa, Chordata, Lepidosauria, Squamata, Phrynosomatidae. The record is from the annotation of a GenBank genome assembly.
GGAACUAGCAUGGCGUAGUGGUUUGAGCAUUGGACUAUGACUCCGAAGGCCAGGGUUCAAAUCCAAGGUCGGCCA